Small nucleolar RNA from Misgurnus anguillicaudatus (oriental weatherfish), 73 nucleotides. RefSeq annotates it as small nucleolar RNA SNORD99. NCBI's taxonomy places the organism in Eukaryota, Metazoa, Chordata, Actinopteri, Cypriniformes, Cobitidae. The record is from RefSeq and is a predicted model, not a curated record.
ACUGAUCAAUGAUGACACACUUUGUAAUGGUGACUGCUGGAUGAAACUUGCGGAUAUGGGACUGAGAUCAGCG